Molecule: ribosomal RNA, 934 nt
Filed under: Podoscypha vespillonea
Lineage: Eukaryota; Fungi; Basidiomycota; Agaricomycetes; Polyporales; Podoscyphaceae
Description: LSU rRNA
Rfam family: Eukaryotic large subunit ribosomal RNA
Source: RNAcentral
GCAUAUCAUAGCGAGAAAAGAACUAACAAGGAUUCCCCUAGUAACUGCGAGUGAAGCGGGAAGAGCUCAAAUUUAAAAUCUGGCAGUGUCUCGCUGUCCGAGUUGUAGUCUGGAGAAGCGUUUUCUGUGCUGGACCGUGUACAAGUCUCUUGGAAUAGAGCGUCAUAGAGGGUGAGAAUCCCGUCUUUGACACGGACUACCAGUGCUUUGUGAUGCGCUCUCAAAGAGUCGAGUUGUUUGGGAAUGCAGCUCAAAAUGGGUGGUAAAUUCCAUCUAAAGCUAAAUAUUGGCGAGAGACCGAUAGCGAACAAGUACCGUGAGGGAAAGAUGAAAAGCACUUUGGAAAGAGAGUUAAACAGUACGUGAAAUUGCUGAAAGGGAAACGCUUGAAGUCAGUCACGUUGGUCAGAACUCAGCCUGGCUUUUUUGCUUGGUGCACUUUCUGAUCAACGGGCCAGCAUCAAUUUUGACCAUUGGAAAAAUUCUCUAGGAAGGUGGCUCUCUCGGGAGUGUUAUAGCCUGGGGUUGUAUGCAGUGGUUGGGAUUGAGGAACUCAGCACGCCUUUAUGGUCGGGGUUCGCCCACGUUCGUGCUUAGGAUGCUGGCGUAAUGGCUUUAAACGACCCGUCUUGAAACACGGACCAAGGAGUCUAACAUGCCUGCGAGUGUUUGGGUGGAAAACCCGAGCGCGCAAUGAAAGUGAAAGUUGGGAUCUCUGUCGUGGAGAGCACCGACGCCCAUACCAGACCUUCUGUGACGGAUAUGCGGUUGAGCAUGUAUGUUGGGACCCGAAAGAUGGUGAACUAUGCCUGAAUAGGGUGAAGCCAGAGGAAACUCUGGUGGAGGCUCGUAGCGAUUCUGACGUGCAAAUCGAUCGUCAAAUUUGGGUAUAGGGGCGAAAGACUAAUCGAGCAUCUAGUAGCUGGUCUUGCGA